CUUUUGAGAGAGGGUUUGAGAAGAUUUGCAUUUUUAGAGCAUAAUACGAUGGAAAUUGUAAGCUACAUUAGGGAAGGGAUUAUUAUUUAUACUCGGCCAUUAUGGUAUAAUCGAUCGGGGGCCUGGAUAUGAUGGUUUAUCCUACUGCGGAUGUUAGCAAUUGGUGUCCACUUAUCUCCAACUUUUGAAUUUAGCUUGUACAAAACUAUGAUUGCGUCUACUUUUUUCAAU
RNAcentral lists this long non-coding RNA (231 nucleotides) under Olea europaea (common olive). RNAcentral's name for it is "long non-coding RNA (OEUR_LNC012403)". Lineage: Eukaryota; Viridiplantae; Streptophyta; Magnoliopsida; Lamiales; Oleaceae. The record is from RNAcentral.